RNAcentral lists this ribosomal RNA (276 nucleotides) under uncultured Synergistaceae bacterium. RNAcentral's name for it is "partial 16S ribosomal RNA". It matches the Rfam family "Bacterial small subunit ribosomal RNA", at positions 1107 to 1382 of the family's 1533-position model. The record is from RNAcentral. Lineage: Bacteria; Thermotogati; Synergistota; Synergistia; Synergistales; Synergistaceae.
GCAUUCAGUUGCCAUCGGGUAAUGCCGGGCACUCUGGAAGGACUGCCAUCGACAAGAUGAGGAAGUGGGGAUGACGUCAAGUCAUCAUGGCCCUUAUGUCCAGGGCGACACACGUGCUACAAUGGCCGGCACAACGGGAAGCGAGUUCGCGAGGACAAGCGGAUCCCUUAAAGACCGGUCGCAGUUCGGAUUGAAGUCUGCAACUCGACUUCAUGAAGCUGGAAUCGCUAGUAAUCGUGGAUCAGCCAAGCCGCGGUGAAUACGUUCCCGGGCCUU